RNAcentral lists this ribosomal RNA (396 nucleotides) under uncultured bacterium. RNAcentral's name for it is "partial 16S ribosomal RNA". It matches the Rfam family "Bacterial small subunit ribosomal RNA", at positions 360 to 774 of the family's 1533-position model. The record is from RNAcentral.
AAUAUUGCACAAUGGAGGGAACUCUGAUGCAGCGACGCCGCGUGAGUGAUGAUGGCUUUCGAUACGUAAAAUUCUUUCCUUGGGGACGAUAACGACGGUACCAAAGGGCGAAGCUCCUGCUAACCACGUGCCAUCAGCCGCGGUAAUACGCAGGGGGCGAGCGUUGUCCGGAAUUAUUGGGCGUAAAGGGUUCGCAGGCGGCCGAUUAAGUCAGAUGUGAAAUCCCACGGCUUAACCGUGGUAAGCAUUUGAAACUGAUUGGCUUGAGUUAAGGAGAGGAAAGUGGAAUUCCUAGUGUAGCGGUGAAAUGCGUAGAUAUUAGGAGGAAUACCAGUGGCGAAGGCGACUUUCUGGACUUAUACUGACGCUGAGGAACGAAAGCGUGGGGAGCAAACA